CAACUCCGAGGCAUUGGUGGACAGACGGGCGCGUCAAUCUCCAGGGUUCCCCACACAGGAAGCAGGAAGCAGGAGGCUGGAGGCUCACAAAACGGACCAGGGAAGUUGUGCAGUCUGGCCUCAGGCUGACAGUGGAAACGUGAGGGGGAAUCUGUGAAAGUCAGUGCUCAGGCUAAAGGCAGCUGCACGAUGACAGGGAGGCCCCCAGGGUCGCUGCUCACACAGCACUUGUGCGGUGACUGAGGGAGCCAUGGGUCCUGGAACCGAGGAGGCAGCUGGGCUGUGCGGUGGAUGGAAGUGCUGAGGCAGGAAGCAGGUGGUCACAGGUGGAGGAAAGGAUGAGCUCGUGCUAUGGAGCAUCUGCCCUUCACGGUGGCUCCUGUGGAGAGGCUCCGCAAAGAUUAAAUUGUAAAGGAAAAUUCAUUUAUUUUGCCUAAUCAUCGUCAAAAACAAUUCUGACACUUGCAGUGCUGAAAGGAAGGCUACUCUGGACAACAAAACAAGAAAUCUGGAAUUCUCAAGGACUAAGUUGUCUCAGGAAGUGCACGGGCAACAGAAACAUUUCCACGAGAGGCCGGGCGCUCAGUCCGGAACUCCUCUCUGAUGUCUGACUUUUCCAGGGACGGAUGGGCGCCUCCAAGCAAGAUGCCGAAUCUCUUUGAACCUAUCCUCCUACUAGAAAAACAGAUUCAUUUCUGCUGACAAAAGUGACUUACUCUACGCCUGUAAUCCCAGCACUUUGGGAGGCCAAGGCGGGCAGAUCACCGGAGGUCAAGAGUUUGAGACCAGACUGGCCAACGUGGCGAAACCCGGUCUCCAU
Non-coding RNA from Macaca mulatta (Rhesus monkey), 820 nucleotides. Lineage: Eukaryota; Metazoa; Chordata; Mammalia; Primates; Cercopithecidae. The record is from RefSeq and is a predicted model, not a curated record.